Molecule: long non-coding RNA, 1169 nt
Filed under: Hordeum vulgare
Lineage: Eukaryota; Viridiplantae; Streptophyta; Magnoliopsida; Poales; Poaceae
Description: long non-coding RNA (HVUL_LNC014162)
Source: RNAcentral
CCAUUUAUCUUGGAAUUUCCGGAACUAGUUCACCUUUUGUAUCCCUUGGUGACAAAAGUUAGCGAGUGUGAUUGUGUGCUGGUUGUGAGGUCUCUUUGCUUGCAUUUGCAAGCAGAAAGAAGAAGCAGAACCUAGAGGGAAGGCUUACUUGGACCACGAAGGUCAUUGGCUUCCCUCUCCCCCCCUGCCGCUGACCAUGCAUGCAAAGUGGGCAUCCAGGCAUAGUGACACCGUACUCCUGAUCUUACUGGGGCCUCCUUGUUGCCCUCUCAGCAAUUGCAACAAGAUGCACCACUAACUGGGCAACAUGACAGAUUGGUUAUGGGACUCUGAUCUUUGAUGAAAUUCGUUGAACCUACCAUAAAGACAUCGCUGCCUAGUCACUACUAAAAUCAUGUCCAUUCAGGNCCUACCAUAAAGACAUCGCUGCCUAGUCACUACUAAAAUCAUGUCCAUUCAGGACGUGUAGUUGUACAUUGUAUGUGAUCAAAUGCUAACAAAAUGUAGUGUUCUCUGAUCCCGACAAAGUGCUGCUGCCUUCGAGGGAUCUUAUACUGUCAACUCGUUUCUUACUGUUGAAAAUUUGAAGUUGCUGGGUGAAAGUUGAUGCUCCCCUCCUGAAUGCCAGAUUUUUUUGGGUUUGAUUCUGGUAUUUUCCAUUUGAAAGUUGGGAACUGUUGGGUUGAUAGUUCUAAGUUUGUUCAAUUUAAAAUUUGGUGGUUGGAAAAUUGCAUACUCCGAUUGGAAGUUCUGGUUUCCAAAACUGCUGAAUUUAUGCUGAAGGCUACCACGAUCUGCAAUGGUCAAAGAGAUGUUAUCUGUCCUGUGAAUCAGAUGUUCCCAUAGCUGAUAGUUGCAGAUCUAUCUGAUAUUGUUAACACUGCCUGAGAGGAGUUCUUGGAAGAAAGCGGAGAGACUCCCUGGCUCAGCGGUCUUUUCCUUUCAGGUGCCAAUUUGGUGCAACUGGUACACAUAUACUUUCCAACACAAUAUCCGACCUUUCAGGUGCCAAUUUGGUGCAACUGGUACACAUAUACUUUCCAACGCAAUAUCCUACGCCGGCAUGCAAGUAUGUUAUCUACUUGUUUCAGUGUUUUGCUUGGUCAUUAUGCCAUCACGCCAUCUUCUGAAACCUGUAGUUCGGACAUGCGCUUCGUGUCUCUUAUAAC